RNAcentral lists this long non-coding RNA (4029 nucleotides) under Mus musculus (house mouse). RNAcentral describes it as "long non-coding RNA chr4:13773906-13777935". The record is from RNAcentral. Lineage: Eukaryota; Metazoa; Chordata; Mammalia; Rodentia; Muridae.
AACUAGUGACACUAGAAUGCUGGCUGCUGUGUGUCUCCUCUGCUGGCUUGGUUGCCAUCAUAUUUUGUUUUGGUGCUGGGACUGAACCUCAGAGUUAUAGGCAUCCUAAACUCACACUGGGCCAAUGAGCCCCGCCCCUCGACCCAGCUCCGGAGUCCUGAACCAGCCCCAGGAUGAGCCUGCUCCUCUAUAUAUAAUGCAUUUUGAGUUGUUCUUUCUUAAUAGGUGUCCUUGUGAGUGUUAGAUGGGUUGGGAGCCGCUGGGAGUGGUAUCUCGCCUGAGAAACUUGCUCUUACAGGCUAUUAAGGACAAUUCUGAGAUGGGUUUAUUAUAGUAUUCGGUAUAUUAAAAAUAAAAAUCUCUUGGCUUUCAGGACUGUGAAAGGAAAGAGUGACAGGAAACUCAAGUGCAGAGUUCUGUGUGUUUAAUAUUCCUGCAUUUGGGAUAGGAUAUUUAGGUAGCACCGAGUUGCAUAUAUUGCAUAGGAUCCAGUAGCCAUAUUUGUGUUAAAAAAGAGAAUACCUUUUGAGAUUUUUCUUAUCAACAAUGCCCUAUCCAUCUUUGAGCAUUAAUACCUAAAUAGGAAGGUUCAUUCUUAGGUAAAAUUGAUUUUGCGAGGAGAGCCUGUAUUUAUUUUAGCAUUUCUUUGGUCUGAUAUCUAGGGGUAUAGUAGCAUUCAUGGGCUUUGCCCCACAUGGAGCUUCGAGCUUAUUGUAGCAUUGCACACUGAUCCCAGGUCAGUGUGAUGCGUGAAAUCAAUUUAUUUGAAUCUCUUUGCCUCUAUAGGAAUUUGGCAGAGUGCCAGUUGUUUUCAUUUAAUGUUCUUUGUGUUGAACACAGACAAGCAGGCUUGCUAUUGUGUUCUUCCUUCUUUUGGUCUCUGUCUCUUACAGCCAAUAUUUUGCUCUGUGGAUUUUGAAAGGAAGGGAGACUUUAUCGAGGGUGGGUGGUGCUUGAUAUGCAAAAACAAACAGUGUGACUUUCUUAUCUUUUAGGAGAUAUUCUUUUCACCUUCAUGACACGAGGUGUUGAUAUUAUACAUAAAAAAUACUUAAGAAUUUUGUUUAGAUAAGAUUCUUGGUGAAAUCAAACAGACUAUAGGUGAUUCCUUGUAUUAAUGACAGUUACUUGAAACAAUUGUAGGAAUUACAAUAAAUACUUAAUUUGUGAACUAAACCAUUUUUAGGAGCAUUUACUCAAUGGGAAAACUUACCCUUUAAUCAAGCACACAUUAAAAGUAAUGCUUUAUCUUUGACCCAUUUUGAUUAAGACACUGCUGUAUAUGACCUGAGUUUGUUAUAUAUAAUGCUCUAAUAAAUUCCUGUGAUUUGGGUAAUUUCUUUUUAAAAUGUGCAGGGUUAAUUCCUGGGAGUGGCAAAGGGCCUUUUUUUCUUUUUUUUUUGCUGUUGUGUGAUAAAUUCAGAUCCAUGCUCCAUUCGUGGUUGUUUUUGUAGGCAGCAGGAAUUGUUUCUGGGUUAGAUCUUGGAAGAGACAGAGAAAGGAAAUAAAUGCCAGAGAGUGAGAGGAGACUGUUCUAUUGAUGCUCCAGGCAGUUCUUACGGAAGUUGAUAUGCAGAACCAUGGAGCCAAGACUUCAGGGUCAGGCUUCUACCCGGCAGCAUAGCUUCCUUGUUUAAUUACCUGAAGAGCAAAACAGUCAGCCUGGGAAUGUGUGAAACCCCAGGAUCUCCUGCAGCCUCCUGGCCCUCUGACAUCCUUCAAGGCCAGUCCCAUGGGUCUGGCUGGUUCACGCCUGGGUUCCUCUCUCUCAGGAGGCAUUGUGUGCAAGAGGGUUUGGCUGUGAAGCUGAGAUCUCUGCCAGUGCCUAGACUCCUGUUCAUUCCUUCUGGUCUGUAUUGACAGAUAGAUUUGGCUUUCCUCUUUCUUCAACGAAUUUAAACAUGUGGCUCUUUCAUUUUGAACCUCUGGCCUUGCUAUGAAACAAUCCCUGUCCCUCCAACACAUUAGCUAAUGGAAGAGUGGCCUUAGUUUCCUGAGAACUCAUUUUUCAGCAUUGUGUGAUCACAUCCUGUGUGUUGCUAUUAUGGGGUCAGACUCACUCAUAAUAAUUUAGUGUGCAACUAACAGUUCUGAGAUGGUUUAUUUAUUCAUACAUGAAAACAGAAUAUCCUGUUUUUAAAAGAAAAGUUAUAGGAUUUUCGAGAUGGGGUCUCCCUCUUUUUUCCUUGGAAUCUGAAUAUAGUGUUAACAUUUGCAGCAGGAAGGGGCACACAUGCUUUGAUGGAGCAGGAGGUGAUGAGAAAUAAUAUUGGUUAGCAAUAUGUCUAGCUUUGGGGGCGUUGCAUAGGGAAAGUAUUCUAAGACUUGCUUGGCGAGAGAGCCAUUUGGGAGACCUCCUGGCUAUAACAAGAUGCUACCUUCCCCAGAGGAAGUCUGACAGCUUCUUUAUCUGUCCUGCUGACUGAAGUGUCCUCCCUGUGGGUGGGGAGCAGGGAUGCUGCUAGUUUUUCCGUCAAACAUCAGUGGAAAGUGUGACUUCAUGUCUAGUAAUUUGGUUUGUCCAACUACUUCCGUAGGCUUCUGUCUUGCAGUCUGAAGGACAUUUGUCCUUUACUGGAACGUGUUUGCCUACAUAAAGUACAAAUAAGAGUUGUGGGCAUGUAAAAAGAGUGUUUUUUUCCGCAUAUAUUUUGUAUUUUCAUUUAUUUAUUCACUUUACAUCUCAAUGCCCAUCCCGCUCUCCUCCCAUCCCCCUUCCCUCAGUUCUUCCUUUACCCCUUCCACUUUCCCUCUGAGAAGGGGAAGCCCCCCCCCCCCCUUGGGUAUCACCCACCCUGGCACAUCAAGUUUCUGUAGGACUAGGUGCAUCCUCUCCCAAGUGUUCUUUUGGUGAAUUCACAAACAUAACUCCACUCCUGGCAAUGAGUUCUCUACACUGCUUUUCCCAAAGUGAUAAACAUGUUGGACUUUGUAGAGAAGUUUCAUGGGAAUUAUUAGAAAAGCAGCUUUGUAUUCAUAUAAUAUUUAUGGAAAUAAUAUGUGUUUGAAUAUUUGUAUACUGCGCCAUGGGCAAGUGUAUAAUCAUUUAACUAGCUGGUCUAGCCUGGUGUACCUGGCGACUGACCUGGCCUGGUGGUCUGUUGCUCACAGGCAUUAAGCACCUGUGCCUGGUGCACCCUCUCUGCAGGUUUGCUCCUGUCUAUUUAUGUAGCAUCCUCCUGCCUUUCCUUCAGAGUUUUUCUUCACCAUCAAUAUGCACGUGGAGAAAGUAGUAUAAAAAUAUACUUUUAGCCACUGUCAGUGUUCAUAACUCACUCUCUACAAACAGACUCUUCACUAAAGCCCCACCCUGCCUCCUGAGCUCCCCAAGUUUUGCUAGGUUUUAUCACCCGACCCACCCCCGACCCCCCCAUAGUUUUUCAGAAUGCAGGUGAGAACAGCCCAGUGCUAUUAUCAGCAGGGCACUGAGUUCACUAAGAGAGGACUGAGAAAGACUGAAAGACAAAUGGCUAGUUGUGGUUUUCAGGUGAGCUUGCUCUGUUAAUCUGGGCUGAAAUGGACAGGAACAGGUGGUGUGGCGGAGGAGAGGAUGGGUAGGGGUUGCUCUGGCCAAGAGCAGGUUGCCAGCUGGGCCAGUGAUCUAGUUCUGUUGUCAGUGUACCCACAGCAGUGGAAAAGGGACCUUUUCACAUAAAAGGCAAUCUUGACAAACUUUCUGAAAACGUUAAUGAGGUAUAAAUGAAUAAUCUUAGUAAGUUGAAGUGCUGAAUUUGCUAAGCGAACUGAGCUGAGGUUCAAAGAUUUGAAGCGCUACUGUAUUUUCUAUAUUCCAAUAUACAGCAGUGUGGUGGGGCGGAUGGGUGCGAACGCCGCUGGAGUCAUUUUGUCUUGGUGCUGUAGCAGAUGUGCUAUACUGGGACCUCUGGACAGAGAAAGCACAGUUAGGGAUGGAAUUUGGUAAUAAAACUCAUUCUAGCUAAAAGUGGGUUUUUCUUUUUAAAGUUUGAAUCUACAUACAAAUGUAACAAAUUAGUGUAUGUGUAUAGAUUUGAAGAAUUUGCAAUAUGG